UUUUUUUUUAUUCUUUCCUUUAAAGGUCAACGUCUAUUAAAGAGUGACCAACUGUUAGUUAUCAACGUUAUUGUUAAUGUUUAGGUUAUUUUAACAAGAAAACUAGUUUAAAAAAAUAUAUUGAUUUCCUAAGGAAAUGUGUGGUUUUCCAAAAUUGAAACCGAUAAAGAUAUUAUUGAAAUAUUUGGAAAAGCAAAUGCAAUAUGAAAUGCAGGUAUUUUGAUCGAAUUAUCAAUAUUAUACGAAGGUCAUUUUUAUAAAAUAAUCGAAGACAAUGUAACAGCAUGUUUAAAGUAUAUUUUUGAUGGCACAUAUUAAUUGAAUAGUUAGAUCGUUUAUGAUUGCUGCCUGCUGCACGAUGUGAAUGGUUUAUUUCAAAUCAAAGACAAAUGAAAUCCGGACCGAGUUGAAAAGCAUACGGGACCAAUAAUUCCUAAAAGGAUUGCCAAAUACAGCGUAGGUAGAAAGAAGCCUAAUUAAUACAAAUUUAAAAGUUUUGAAACUGUUAAUUUAUAAUGAUUAACAUAUAAAUGAUAAUGCAUGUCAAUACAGAGGUAAUGAAUACUGAGAUGAGCGGAUGUACUCUCUGGCUUUGACACAGUGGUAGUAAAUAAACUCAUCAUAGAUACAAGGAUUCAAAUUUGGUAUUUGUAAAAUUUGGUAAAAUGUUUAAAAAUAUAUGCUAUUUUUGGGGUAAUUAUUCCUUCUGGGUCAACCAAUGAAUUCAGUCGUGUUGGUUUUUUUUUUUUAAUUGAAAAUAUUUUAGUGUACAUUGUAGAUGAUUUUUGCAAAUUAAAGUUUCGCUCUAAG
RNAcentral lists this long non-coding RNA (810 nucleotides) under Mytilus galloprovincialis (Mediterranean mussel). Lineage: Eukaryota; Metazoa; Mollusca; Bivalvia; Mytilida; Mytilidae. The record is from RNAcentral.